CAGGAAUAAACCCGUUUUCUGUCCCUUGUGGUAGAUGAACUUUUUGAGCGGAGUUGAGCCGUUCCCGCAAAGAAGCUGAAGUGUUUCUGAAGAGAGCCGUUAGGCUACCCCAGCCAGCACAGCCCCCGCCUGCUCAGGGGGAACUGGAUUCUGCUAAUAGCUUUGUAGCGACCUCAGCAGCAGUAUUUUGUUGACUUGGGGGCUAGGACAAGGUUACCACAGCAUUCUGAGAUGACGAGACAGGUCAGGUGUCCUGCAGGCAAGGGCCAAGAGAGCCUAAUGGUUCCCCCCAUGACAAACCCCUGGGUCUAAGGUAUUCCUUCCCCACCAGCCCAGGUUGUCACCCUCCUUUCUCAGCCACGUGAUGGGUAUGCCCGGUCUCUGAAGCAUCCACAUCUCCUAAUCUCCCUCAUAUCUGUCCCACACCAUGUGUCUAGUUUCAUGCUGAGGUGGCCCAGUGGUUUCUUCUUUGCAUACCUUGUGCCCUCCUAGACCAUCUCCCACCCCCAGACAGGUGCACCACUCCGGGAACAACUUAGAAGUCAUCACCUCAUACCUAUGAUCAUUGUCAUCUGUCUCCACAAUCCUCCAGACCAGCCGCCUAACUGGGUGGGAAGAGAAACUCCAGGUUAGUGUCUCCUGCCUCCCAUCUCUUGGCCAGUCACCAAGUCCAGUCCCUGGCUUCCUGCAGGUCGGCAUGGAAGGGGAAAAGGAAGAUUGGCCCUGAGCUAACAUCCGUGCCCAUCUUCCUCUACUUUAUAUGUGGGAUGCCUGCCACAGCAUGGCUUGCCAAGCGGUGCAUAGGUCUGUGCCUGGGAUCCAAACUGGUGAACCCCAGGCCUCCGAAGCAGAACGCAAAAACUUAGCUGCGCCACAGGGCUGACCCCAGUGGUCCUCUACUUUGUAUGUGGGAUGCUUCCAUGGCAUGGCUGAUGAGUGGAGUAGGUCUGCACCCGGGAUCCGAAUCCGUGAACCCAGACCGCUGAAGCAGAGCAUGGGGAACCGUAACCACUUGGCCAUGGGGCUGGUCCCCCAUUUUUGUUUUUAGUGGCAUUCACACUUGGAGGUGAUACAGGACAUGAAAUGUUUAGUUCCCUGCCCGGGACUUUUUGCUAAAAGACAGCACCAUUUGGUGGUGAUGGGAUGUGUAUAAGAAAUCCAAAACGUAGCACAAUCCAUCUAGAAAUCCUUGGAUAGUAUGUUUCUACCUGCUGUGCAGACAGGUGUCAGUGCCAUGCCCUGAAAAGGUGCCUACUGUAGUCAGUGCCCGCCAACCUCAAGAGGCAGAGAGGGAAGGGGCCUACAGGGUCUAUUGUCAGGACUGGCCAGGUCCAGGCUCCUGAAGUAUGUACCCUGAAGCUUUCUUUGUCACCCAACCGUGUAACUGGCAGUCUCAGCACAUUUGCCAGGUUUCCCUGGCUUCGUCUGCUGGACUCACUAGGCCUUGUUCUGGGGCCCAGUCCUGAAUUGUAGCCAGGUUACCAUACCCUGUGUGGCACUGUGUCCAGGUGCCAGAUCCUUACCCGGGUAGCGCAAGGCUAACUAGCUGGUUGAUCCGUUGAUGUGCAUCCUGAAAAGGUCCUGUUCCAAGGGCGUUGGUCCACAUGGACCACAAACAGGGGUGUGGGUCUUGUGCAAUCUGCUCCAUGAUGUUUGUCCCCAUGGAGGCUGACACUCCAUCAUCCAG
RNAcentral lists this long non-coding RNA (1687 nucleotides) under Equus caballus (horse). RNAcentral describes it as "lncRNA (ENSECAG00000050905.1)". Lineage: Eukaryota; Metazoa; Chordata; Mammalia; Perissodactyla; Equidae. The record is from RNAcentral.